This 429-nucleotide ribosomal RNA is filed under the name Chloroflexota bacterium. RNAcentral describes it as "Chloroflexi bacterium partial 16S ribosomal RNA". It matches the Rfam family "Bacterial small subunit ribosomal RNA", at positions 355 to 776 of the family's 1533-position model. The record is from RNAcentral. Lineage: Bacteria; Bacillati; Chloroflexota.
UGGGGAAUAUUGCACAAUGAGCGCAAGCCUGAUGCAGCCAUGCCGCGUGUGUGAAGAAGGCCUUCGGGUUGUAAAGCACUUUCAGCGGGGAGGAAGGCGUUAAGGUUAAUAACCUUGGCGAUUGACGUUACCCGCAGAAGAAGCACCGGCUAACUCCGUGCCAGCAGCCGCGGUAAUACGGAGGGUGCAAGCGUUAAUCGGAAUUACUGGGCGUAAAGCGCACGCAGGCGGUCUGUCAAGUCGGAUGUGAAAUCCCCGGGCUCAACCUGGGAACUGCAUUCGAAACUGGCAGGCUAGAGUCUUGUAGAGGGGGGUAGAAUUCCAGGUGUAGCGGUGAAAUGCGUAGAGAUCUGGAGGAAUACCGGUGGCGAAGGCGGCCCCCUGGACAAAGACUGACGCUCAGGUGCGAAAGCGUGGGGAGCAAACAGG